UUUUUUUCCUCAAAGAAGUAAAAUUGUACUCGCGUCCUCGUCUUCUUUCUGAGGAAGUUGGUCCAUCCCCCAAGUAUUCUCCUCACUGGAAAGCACCUUUCUUUCUUUUUUUUUUUUUUUUUUUUUUGGCAUUUUUCACCUUAACCAUUGCAUAAGUUCGGACAAGUCUAGAAUACAUUUAUCGGAUAACCAACAGGAAGAGUCAGUACAUUCUACUUCCACCCAUUCUGCUAGUUCAGACUUUCAGGAGAUCAUAACUCCAGUCUCAAUCUCUAUAGUCAAUCUGGGAGAUUUAGGUUGUCCUAGAAUCAUGGAAAAAAAAUCCUGAAAGUGUUGAGAGUUCUGGGGAGGAAUGAAAAGUUGGAUAUUAUGAUGGUGAUGAGGAAAAUUGUUUGAGAAGUGGAGGGCCGAUUUUUAUAGGGCAGUAGUGACAGUGGAUCUGCUAACGAACUAGAGGGCUAAGUAUAGUAGCUCAAUAGAAAUGGCAAUUUCCAACCCUCUGACCGAGCUAGUGAUCUUCCGAUGGGAUAUAUAGCUCUAAACUCUGCCAUCCUGAAUGCCUGUCUCAAACUCCCUUUUCUUAGGGUCAUUCAUAGGUUUCUUUCUUUCUAGGGAAUAGCUCCCACUCAACUAUGCCUUAAUAUGUACUAAACACUGGUAGCCACUCUAAUUCUGUGGUAUAAAUUAGGGAACCUCGAGCUGAGUGUGGAGUAAUUUAACUCUUUUUUUACGUUCAAAGAGGAGGAAAAGAAUACUGGUUGGUGGUAUGCCAGUGUUAGAUCUAGAAUUGGGGAUCCACUAGUGUUAGAUACUCUUUCUUCAAUAAAGCAAUGAAAUUAGAGUUCUUCUUUGUAAUAGGUGAAUCUCAAUUUCACCCUACCUAUUAUCAUUUAUUAUGUAAGUGAAUAUCUUCUUCGUAUUCUGUUAAAUUAAGUUGUAAGUAUAUCCUCAGCUCUUUUGUUGUGAUUGCAGACUACAAGAAGGCUACUUUGACUUCGACUAUUAAUGAGCAAGCUGAAGCAAUCAGAGCUUUUCCUAAAAAGCAGAGGUCCUACAAAUUCGUUAUCUCUUAUUCCAAUCUCUUUCAAGUGAGAUUAUUUUGAUCUCAACCCCCGACCUCAAUGGCAACUGAGGCUUUUACUUCUAUCUAACUAUGUAAAGUAAGGAUCGACUUAUCUUUUAAGUGUUACAAUGAGUUUGUAGUUUGGAUUCUAACUCUUUUUCUCUUUUUUUAGAUCAGGACAAAUAAAUGCUAGGAUAUAAGGUAACAAAGGUGACGACUCCAGCCAAUAAAGGAAAGAAAAGAAAGACCCCUACUAAAGUAGUAGGAUAAACAGAAGAGGUUAUAGUUGAGCAAGGAGCUGGACUUUCUAUGCAUGGCCAUUUUGAAGAGCCACCAGCAAGGUCAACUUCUAUGGCCUUUUCUCUAGUACAAUCCUCUCCCACAAUACCACUCCAGAUGUUGACCCCUACUCUUACUCCUCUUUUCGUCACUGUCGGGACCAACUCCUCGAGGUCAUAGGAAUGAUGCCUAGAUCUGCAGAGACCUAGCAUUGAUUGCUUGGUGGGCCGCCGACCUAAGAUAUUCCUGGACUUUCUUAGGGCUCCAUCUCCAUCCAAGGAAUCGACGGCUACACUCUCUUCUCUCUUUAGAGAAUCUACCAACCUCCUCCUCACUAAUAGUUAGAAUGGGAAGAAGCAGAAGUUUAUUUCUAAGAUAUCAGUGGAUGAGGCCAUGAUUACUAUCGAGCUCCACAGACACAAAUCCAUUCUAUAUAUGAUGUCUAUAGCAGAUAAGGUGCGUACUUGAGCUCAUGUACUUAGGAACUUUUGGAAGUCAAUAAUCAUGCCUUGAGCCUUUUCAAAAACAUGGAGGUUGAGAGGACAAGAUUUGCUAAGAAAAAAAGGAAAACAAAGAUCGCCUUAAAAAGAUAGGGGUCGAGCUGGAGGUAAAGUCAACAUCAGAAUUGGGCUUCAUGGAUGAAAUGAAGGCCUUGAAAAUUUAGGGAAAAAAGGCCAACGAGAGGGCCUUUACUGAGAAAAUGAGGGUUGAAGAGGAAAGAGCUAAAGUUGACGAGGCUAUGAAGAGGGUUGAAGAAGCCAACAUGAAGGCAAAAGAGGCUGAGGCUGAGGCUGAGGCUAAAGCAGUCGAGGUAAUGAAAUUUUGGAGGGCCUCUCCUGAGUUUGGUGCUCUAACUUAGGAUCCUAUGUAAUGGCCUUGGAAGAGCUUGUAAAACACAUUGGUAAAGAGAGGCUGGUUCUGAUACUGCCUUCUCAGAAAAAUCCUUAGAAGAGCAGAAGAAAGAGCUGGAGAAAAUGUCUGAGACAGGUGAAGUUCGCAUAUCUUCUGUGGAUAAAGAUAUAUAGGAUGAUGUCAUUUCUCAAUAAGAUCCCAAGUUGCUUAGCUUCCCUUAUUUAAUGUUGCUGCUAAACAUUGUUCAUUUUUUUGAUUUGCUCAUAAUCAACCUUUUGCUAGUAAAUGGAUAUUUUAUUAUUAUUGAGUGUCGGUUCAUUUUUUGCACAAAUUGACAAUGUUUUGAUUCCCUUAAUGGAAAAUAGUCUAAAUGUUGUAGCACAUGUAACCUUAUCUCAACUUGCUUAAAAGUAAGGCUUUUGUAAUUUCCUUAAGAGAAAAUUUAUCAAUGUGUUGCAGCACAUACAACCUUAGGUCUGCUUGCGUAGAAGCAAUGCUUUUGUAAUUUCCAAAAGAAGAAAUUUAUCUAAGUGUUGCAACACAUGCAACCUUAGGUCAGCUUGUUUAGGAGCAAGG
Molecule: long non-coding RNA, 2770 nt
Filed under: Olea europaea subsp. europaea
Lineage: Eukaryota; Viridiplantae; Streptophyta; Magnoliopsida; Lamiales; Oleaceae
Source: RNAcentral